GAUGAACGCUGGCGGCGUGCCUAAUACAUGCAAGUCGAGCGAACAGACGAGGAGCUUGCUCCUCUGACGUUAGCGGCGGACGGGUGAGUAACACGUGGAUAACCUACCUAUAAGACUGGGAUAACUUCGGGAAACCGGAGCUAAUACCGGAUAAUAUAUUGAACCGCAUGGUUCAAUAGUGAAAGACGGUUUUGCUGUCACUUAUAGAUGGAUCCGCGCCGCAUUAGCUAGUUGGUAAGGUAACGGCUUACCAAGGCGACGAUGCGUAGCCGACCUGAGAGGGUGCUCGGCCACACUGGAACUGAGACACGGUCCAGACUCCUACGGGAGGCAGCAGUAGGGAAUCUUCCGCAAUGGGCGAAAGCCUGACGGAGCAACGCCGCGUGAGUGAUGAAGGUCUUCGGAUCGUAAAACUCUGUUAUUAGGGAAGAACAAAUGUGUAAGUAACUAUGCACGUCUUGACGGUACCUAAUCAGAAAGCCACGGCUAACUACG
RNAcentral lists this ribosomal RNA (495 nucleotides) under uncultured bacterium. RNAcentral describes it as "partial 16S ribosomal RNA". It matches the Rfam family "Bacterial small subunit ribosomal RNA", at positions 28 to 505 of the family's 1533-position model. The record is from RNAcentral.